This 1224-nucleotide small RNA is filed under the name Rattus norvegicus (Norway rat). Its description in RNAcentral is "uncharacterized LOC102557118". Lineage: Eukaryota; Metazoa; Chordata; Mammalia; Rodentia; Muridae. The record is from RNAcentral.
AAAGGAGGAAUAACAACAAUACAGUCUUUAUUUGGCAGCCAAAACUCCACAGACCUCAUCCACACCCGAUGCCCGCUAACGGCUCACUUUUAAUGUUUCCUGCUGCUGCUGCUCUGGAGAGGGACCAUUUGACCCGUGUUUGGAAAACAAGCCAAAUCAAAGAGAGGAAAGCCCUUGGAAAGGCCUCAGCUUCUGCGCAGGCGGGGUGGGGUCGCUGGGUCCAGCCCUGGCCAGUUGAGUUUCUAACAAGUGCCUUGCUUCCCUGAUAUCAAUUCUUCAGCUCACUGAGGAGCUGUGGGACACUUUUCAGAGCAUACACGGUGACAUUAUUUCCCCACCAUAGUCUCCAGGAGCUUGCUAAGGGAGUGGAGACGCACUGUGCAGUGAGCUGACAUAAGAGGGUACCUGUAUCUUCCCAUCAUUGGAGGCACCUGAGUUCCCAGCCACUGGUCUACUGGCAAUGGUGGAGUGUAGAGCGAGGUGAGACAAAUCAGGUAAUGUGAGCCAACCUGCCUUUCUGCUGUCCUUGAAGACAGAACAGUCUCUAGAUUGGGGACAGGGACGUGAACUGCUGAGAUCUGGCUUGAUGCUUGCAUGCUGUCACUUCCCCUCUGUAACUUCACUAUUUGUAAAACUCGAGGUUAUACUAACUGACCUUUGAAGUCUCUUCCGACAUUGUAAAAUGAUGUGGUAUUGGGACUCGUGGAUUAAAAUGUCAGCUCUGCUCCUUUCUUGAUAUUUGACAAACAGAUUAGACCCUCAGUUUCUUCAGGUGUAUGUAUUAAAAUAACCCUAUCUUCCUCCUUGCUUAUUCCUAGGAUCUGGGGAGGCUCAAUGGAAGCAGAGGCUUGGGAGCAUCAUCCACACAGCCAAGGCUUCUCCAGAGUAAGCGUCCACAGUGUUGGAAACACGCCGCAGGUGACAUAUUCAUCUCUUCCCACUGUAGCACUUAAAGCACUCCUGGGAAUAUUGGGGAGUAUGGGAAAUGUAGUACUCCUGGGAAUACUGGGGGAGUGUGGCAAGUGUAGUACCCAAGCUGCAGCAACCAGGGAAAACCUGGCAGCGUGGCUGAGGUAGAAUGUUGGGUGGGGGUGGGGCAAAUCUAGGACAGAGGCGGCCCCCACUGCAGUGGGUUUCAGCUGCUUUCCCAGAGACAUUGCUUGCCCACCCUGGGGUUCACCGUUCUUUCACCCUCCUGGUAACGGCUGCCUUGGCUGUUGUGGC